CAGUUCCUCCUUCACAUGCUUCAUCUCACCUGCCACCAUGUAAGACAUGUCUGGUUCCCCUUCUGCCAUGAUUCUGUUUUGUGAGCAGUUUUAUGAACCCAAAAUGGAGUCCAGAGCUGGGCUUAGACAGAUUGGAGCAUAAGGCCACAGCUGCUGUGACGACAUCAAUUAUGAAUACACAACAAUGUACCUGAGGAAAACAGAAAGUGAAUAACAUACAAGGCAUGAUGGUUACUGUAACUUUCAUGGGAAUGCAAUUCUUGGCUUAUGUAUUAGCUAUCAAAGCUCUGAAACCCAAACGAAAUUGAAUGGGUAGGAUUAUCAGACAAAACAUCAGACAUCCAGUUAUAUUUUAAUUUGACAUGAACAAUGAAUACUUUUUAGUAUAACCAUCUAUCAAAUAUUGCAUGGCACUAGCCCUGUGAAUGUCCACUCUUGCUAUUUUGGUUGGGGUACAUUUAGACUAAAAAAGUUUUUGUUUUCUAUUUGCAAUUAAAACUUAACCAGCCAUACUGACUUUUUAUUUACUAAAUCUGUCAGCCUUAGAAAUGGGGGCUGGGCUAAAAGCAAAUUUGUAUGGAAAUGUACAGUCAAACAGCUCAGUUGAUGAAUUUGAAGCUAGGUUUCUGGUGGAAAUCCAAGAAUCACUACAAUUUACAUUUUCAAGGCUACAUCAAGGCAAUACCAUAUAGAGCAAUGCUUUAGAACAUCUUUCAGUGGAUUCAAACAGAUUUGAGUCCUGGCUUCUCUAACUUAUAUCCUACUGAUGUGACU
Callithrix jacchus (white-tufted-ear marmoset) is the source of this 774-nucleotide long non-coding RNA. RefSeq lists it as uncharacterized. The record is from RefSeq and is a predicted model, not a curated record. Lineage: Eukaryota; Metazoa; Chordata; Mammalia; Primates; Cebidae.